RNAcentral lists this ribosomal RNA (253 nucleotides) under Klebsiella pneumoniae. RNAcentral describes it as "partial 16S ribosomal RNA". It matches the Rfam family "Bacterial small subunit ribosomal RNA", at positions 95 to 351 of the family's 1533-position model. The record is from RNAcentral. Lineage: Bacteria; Pseudomonadati; Pseudomonadota; Gammaproteobacteria; Enterobacterales; Enterobacteriaceae.
GCGGCGGACGGGUGAGUAAUGCUUAGGAAUCUGCCUAUUAGUGGGGGACAACAUCUCGAAAGGGAUGCUAAUACCGCAUACGUCCUACGGGAGAAAGCAGGGGAUCUUCGGACCUUGCGCUAAUAGAUGAGCCUAAGUCGGAUUAGCUAGUUGGUGGGGUAAAGGCCUACCAAGGCGACGAUCUGUAGCGGGUCUGAGAGGAUGAUCCGCCACACUGGGACUGAGACACGGCCCAGACUCCUACGGGAGGCAG